Molecule: long non-coding RNA, 2280 nt
Filed under: Homo sapiens (human)
Lineage: Eukaryota; Metazoa; Chordata; Mammalia; Primates; Hominidae
Description: HSALNT0233848
Source: RNAcentral
CCAAAGUGCUAGGAUUACAGGCGUGAGCCACUGUGCCCGGCUGGCUUUCAUAUCUCUUAUUCUUUCUGCUUCCGCUCUCUCCUGUCCCCUAUUAGCCAUGGGUUCCAGAGAGGAGAGAAGGCUCGGGAGAGCAGGGGACUCAGGAGGUCACCCUGCUACCCUCACCUUUUUAAUAACCCUCCUCAAACCCUGGUUCCACGUCUCCCUCACUCAAGGAUUUAUGUCUCAUUUUCAAUGGAAUGUUACAUUUGGUCAGACCACGAAGAAAACUCCUCAUUAUAAACUAGGAAAUGUGUGGAGAGAGAAUUAUUUACCCAAGGCAGUGCUCAAUCAGUGUUGCCCGAAUAUUUAUUUAGCCCACACACGGAGAAGUUGUGUUAAUGUUUGCCAAAGAAUGUAGCUUUAUAAAGUAACUGGGUCAAAAAAGACAGCAUAUCAUUUUACAAAUAACUUUAAAAUUGCUUAAGUUAAAUAGCUGGGCUCUCUCAGGUUUGUCUUUUCAAAAACGCUGCAGAAACAAUAUCCAGAAUUAUGUCUAAUAAAAUACAGGUAUUACAAAGUGGCUGUUUAGCCCAUUAAAGAAAAUGGAGAGUGAAAUCUGAAUUAUUUCUACCCGAGGCAGAAGCAGACAAAGUUACCAAAAUUAUGUUAGGCCGACGUCGCAAUUCUUCAAGUCUGCAGGGCGGCAAGGCUAACAGCUCCUGCACCAAGACUCUAUUAGGAGAGCUGUAUUUUUCAGUCAACAAUGACAGGCAUUCCAUUUCUCAGCCUCAAAUCUAGUGUAGCUAUGGGGAAUUCACCCAAAACAUUUGCUUUUGCUUUAUCAGUGGCAUUUGUCUGCCUCAAAAGCCUUGUGAGGGAGAGGGCUACUACGUGACGCUGCCAGGCAAUGCUGUUGGAGGCAGCUGAUUUGAUGGACAAGAAGGGGAGCAGUGACCACCUGGGUCACUCUGACUCCGCCCUCUCUGAGCCAAGUGAAUCUGAGCAAUGAUGUCAUAAUAAUCAUCAAUAGCAACAGUGGCUGCGCGUGAGGGGCGUGGUGGUUCACGCCUGUAAUCCCAACACUUUGGGAAGCCGAGGUGGGCAGAUCAUUUGAGCUGAGGAGUUCAAGACCAGCCUGGACAACAUGCUGAAACCCCAUCUCUACUAAAACUACAAAGAAUUAGCCAGGCAUGGUAGCACAUGCCUGUAGUCCCAGCCACUCAGGAGCCUAAGGCAGGAGAAUUGCUUGAACUUCCCCAGCUUCAAGAGGAAGAGUCUGCAGUGAGCCGAGAUGGCGCCACUGCACUCCAGCCUGGGUGACAAGAGUAAAACUCCCUCUCAAAACAAACAAACAAACCAAAAAAACAAAUAGCAACAGCAACCACAAUCAUCAUCACCAUCAAGGCUGGAACAAGGAUGAGGCAGGCAGGCUCUGAUAGCAACAGGAGGAAGCAGACCAAGGAGGGAGAGAAAGGAAGGCAGAGAAGGGGAAAAAAAAACACAAAUGAUAAUAAUAGAUGCUGACAUUUACGGAGCACUUACUAUGUGCUGGGAACCAUGCUGACGGCACACCGAAUCCACUGAACAGGUGGAUCUCUUUGGGUUUUGGAAUAACAAAAAAGGGACUGUACAUGGAUAUUUCCAAGCUGGAACCGAGGCACUUUCUAGACGAAGGCAGCCUUAUCCCCAGGAGAUGAUUGAAAAUGUAAGAACUAUUCUGAGCCUGCAGGCCAUAGCCAAAGAGGUACCGGCUGUAUUUUGUCCAUGGGCAGGAGCUUGUGACUGCUGGUCUAGGUCAUUCCAGGUCAACCAGGGGCCUCUCCCAGAGUGAGAACCACUGGUGAUUCCCCAGAGUGGGACCAAGUGAAAGCACUUGGCUGGAUCAGAGGGAUAGGAGCCUGGCUGCUCCUAAAACAAGACACUACUUGCCUUUGAUGUUCAAGUCAUUUAAGAACGCAAUUGCUUCCUACUCAAUUUUUCAAAACCAAAAUAACAAAUACGAUAUGAGCCAUAACUUAGCAAAAUUACGUGUUUUAAACAGUCUCUUUCAAAAAACAAUAGAUUAAAAAGUGCAAUAUUUUUACCCCCUCUUAAAUUGGAAUCAUGGUAUAGCAGGCAGGAUACAAACUUCUCAUUUCCAUUACACAUUUUCAGUGCCAUCAUUAAUCUGAAUGACAUCAACAAAAUGCCCAAUGCACAUAAAUCAGUCAGACUUUGAAUCAUUCCUGCAGCCUCUGAACAUUUACCAUGGAGCUCAAUAAGCCAGGCAAGAACACAGAUUUUUUUUUUUUUUUUUUU